GAUUAACGCUGGCGGCGUGCCUAACACAUGCAAGUCGAGCGGCAGCGAGUUUUACACUGAAUUCUGGAAGCUUCUAGUUGAAAGAGAAGAUUUAUUCAAGAAUUUUGUGUAAAAUGUCGGCGAGCGGCGGACGGCUGAGUAACGCGUGGGAACGUACCCCAAAGUGAGGGAUAACGCAUCGAAAGGUGUGCUAAUACCGCAUAUGGUCUUCGGAUUAAAGCCUUCGGGCGCUUUGGGAACGGCCUGCGUAAGAUUAGAUAGUUGGUGGGGUAAUGGCCUACCAAGUCGACGAUCUUUAACUGGUUUGAGAGGAUGAUCAGUCAGACUGGAACUGAGACACGGUCCAGACUCCUACGGGAGGCAGCAGUGAGGAAUCUUCCACAAUGGGCGAAAGCCUGAUGGAGCAACGCCGCGUGCAGGAUGAAGGCCUUCGGGUUGUAAACUGCUUUUAUAAGUGGGGAUUAUGACAGUAACUUAUGAAUAAGGAUCGGCUAACUACGUG
This 502-nucleotide ribosomal RNA is filed under the name uncultured bacterium. Its description in RNAcentral is "partial 16S ribosomal RNA". It matches the Rfam family "Bacterial small subunit ribosomal RNA", at positions 28 to 507 of the family's 1533-position model. The record is from RNAcentral.